This 253-nucleotide ribosomal RNA is filed under the name uncultured bacterium. RNAcentral's name for it is "partial 16S ribosomal RNA". It matches the Rfam family "Archaeal small subunit ribosomal RNA", at positions 474 to 727 of the family's 1478-position model. The record is from RNAcentral.
UACCAGCACCCCGAGUGGUCGGGACGUUUAUUGGGCCUACAGCAUCCGUAGCCGGUUCUACAAGUCUUCCGUUAAAUCCACCUGCUUAACAGAUGGGCUGCGGAAGAUACUAUAGAGCUAGGAGGCGGGAGAGGCAAGCGGUACUCGAUGGGUAGGGGUAAAAUCCGUUGAUCCAUUGAAGACCACCAGUGGCGAAGGCGGCUUGCCAGAACGCGCUCGACGGUGAGGGAUGAAAGCUGGGGGAGCAAACCGG